RNAcentral lists this ribosomal RNA (441 nucleotides) under Triticum aestivum (bread wheat). RNAcentral's name for it is "partial small subunit ribosomal RNA". Lineage: Eukaryota; Viridiplantae; Streptophyta; Magnoliopsida; Poales; Poaceae. The record is from RNAcentral.
AUGAUGUGCGGUUUCAGUACUACUAGGUGUGAGGAGGAGGAGGUUAGCCUUGAUGGCCAGGUGGUACCUCGGAAGGACACCUUUCGGUAUUUGGGGUCAAUGUUGCAGGAGGAUGGGGUUAUUGAUGAAGAUGUGAACCAUCGAAUCAAAGCCGGAUGGAUGAAGUGGCGCCAAGCUUCUGGCAUUCUCUGUGACAAGAGGGUGCCACAAAAGCUAAAAGGCAAGUUCUACAGGACGGCGGUUCGACCCGCAAUGUUGUAUGGCGCGGAGUGUUGGCCGACUAAAAGGCGACAUGUUCAACAGUUAGGUGUAGCGGAGAUGCAUAUGUUGAGAUGGAUGUGUGGCCACACGAGGAAGGAUCGAGUUCGGAAUGAUGAUAUACGAGAUAGAGUUGGGGUAGCACCAAUUGAGGAGAAGCUUGUCCAACAUCGUUCGAGAUAG